Molecule: ribosomal RNA, 414 nt
Filed under: uncultured bacterium
Lineage: Bacteria
Description: bacterial SSU rRNA
Rfam family: Bacterial small subunit ribosomal RNA
Source: RNAcentral
AACGAACGCUGGCGGCAUGCCUAACACAUGCAAGUCGAACGAGACCUUCGGGUCUAGUGGCGCACGGGUGCGUAACGCGUGGGAACCUGCCUUUAGGUUCGGAAUAACUCAGAGAAAUUUGAGCUAAUACCGGAUGAUGUCUUCGGACCAAAGAUUUAUCGCCUUUAGAUGGGCCCGCGUAAGAUUAGCUAGUUGGUGGGGUAAAGCCUACCAAGGCGACGAUCUUUAGCUGGUCUGAGAGGAUGAUCAGCCACACUGGGACUGAGACACGGCCCAGACUCCUACGGGAGGCAGCAGUGGGGAAUAUUGGACAAUGGGCGAAAGCCUGAUCCAGCAAUGCCGCGUGAGUGAUGAAGGCCUUAGGGUUGUAAAGGCUCUUUUACCCGACGAUGAUAAUGACAGUAUCGGGAGAAU